Molecule: long non-coding RNA, 204 nt
Filed under: Elaeis guineensis (African oil palm)
Lineage: Eukaryota; Viridiplantae; Streptophyta; Magnoliopsida; Arecales; Arecaceae
Description: long non-coding RNA (EGUI_LNC082403)
Source: RNAcentral
UGUAGGACUCAUAGUCCACAAGUAUUAGGACUCUUCAUCAGCCAUCAGAUCAGAUAGAAACCUCUAAUGUGUGUGACCCCGCAGGUUCGAACCUAAGCCGGUAGCACAGGAACCAAUUCCUGUACUAAUCGAAGUGACUAUCUAGCAAUGGUACCCGAUGAUCGGAUAGGUCGAAUGGUCGCAAUCGCAACACUCAGAACCUAC